UCUUAUCAAGAGAGGUGGAGGGACAGGGCCCAAUGAAACCCGGCAACCAGUAUUUUAUACCAAGGUGCCAAUUCCUGCAGUGUAAAUCUGCAAGAUAAGG
RNAcentral lists this non-coding RNA (100 nucleotides) under Clostridium massiliamazoniense. RNAcentral describes it as "SAM riboswitch (S box leader)". It matches the Rfam family "SAM riboswitch aptamer (S box leader)". From Rfam's summary of the family: The SAM riboswitch is found upstream of a number of genes which code for proteins involved in methionine or cysteine biosynthesis in Gram-positive bacteria. The SAM riboswitch acts at the level of transcription termination control. The record is from RNAcentral. Lineage: Bacteria; Bacillati; Bacillota; Clostridia; Eubacteriales; Clostridiaceae.